Molecule: ribosomal RNA, 477 nt
Filed under: uncultured bacterium
Lineage: Bacteria
Description: bacterial SSU rRNA
Rfam family: Bacterial small subunit ribosomal RNA
Source: RNAcentral
UGACGGUACCGGAAGAAGAAGCACCGGCUAACUACGUGCCAGCAGCGCGGUAAUACGUAGGGUGCGAGCGUUAAUCGGAAUUACUGGGGCGUAAAGGGUGCGCAGGCGGUUUUGCAAGCCAGACGUGAAAUCCCCGGGGCUUAACCUGGGAACUGCGUUUGGAACUGCAAGACUAGAGUGUGUCAGAGGGAGUGAAUUCCACGUGUAGCAGUGAAAUGCGUAGAUAUGUGGAGGAACACCGAUGGCGAAGGCCAGCCUCCUGGGAUAACACUGACGCUCAUGCACGAAAGCGUGGGGAGCAAACAGGAUUAGAUACCCUGGUAGUCCACGCCCUAAACGAUGUCAACUGGCUGUUGGGAGAGAAAUCUUUCAGUAGCGAAGCUAACGCGUGAAGUUGACCGCCUGGGGAGUACGGCCGCAAGGUUGAAAACUCAAAGGAAUUGACGGGGGCCCGCACAAGCGGUGGAUGAUGUGGAG